GUUACAUUUUGGGCCUCAGAUUUCAGGUAGGAGGGCCCCUUAGCAGGAUUUUGCUUAGGGCCCCAUGGAGGUCUGAACCGGCACUGGUCUCAUUUGGUAAACCAUGGUUCCGGGAGUAUGAAUGUCAUCUAUGUCAUCUUUGCAGCCUCACCAUGUCCCAGAUUCCUUGAGCUCCUUCAGGGAACCGAGUAUGGAAAUGAGAGGAGGCAUCGCUGCAUGGUGUGGGAGCUGCACAGCUAACGAGUGCAAAACGCUGCAGAAGCAUCUGUGGAUGCGAACUCCCCUCCAUCCUGAUCAGAUGAUGGAGAAGUAAAUCCUGGACAUUUAUUUUAAAAAUCCAACCAUCCCAGCACACUCUAUUCAACU
Alosa sapidissima (American shad) is the source of this 366-nucleotide long non-coding RNA. RefSeq lists it as uncharacterized. The record is from RefSeq and is a predicted model, not a curated record. NCBI's taxonomy places the organism in Eukaryota, Metazoa, Chordata, Actinopteri, Clupeiformes, Clupeidae. The transcript is spliced from 3 exons.